AAGUCGUAACAAGGUUUCCGUAGGUGAACCUGCGGAAGGAUCAUUACCGAGUAAGGGUCUUCAAGGCCCGACCUCCCACCCUCUUGUGUCGAACAAAUUCUGUUGCUUUGGCGGGACCGCUCGGCCUCCGGGUCGACUGCCGGGUCUCGUACCGGGUAAGUGCCCGCCAGAGUCCACAAUUAAAACACUCUGUUAAAACCUUUAGUCUGAGUAAAUGAUAAAUAAUCAAAA
This 231-nucleotide unclassified non-coding RNA is filed under the name plant metagenome. RNAcentral describes it as "partial contains small subunit ribosomal RNA and internal transcribed spacer 1". The stretch from base 1 to 46 matches the Rfam family "Eukaryotic small subunit ribosomal RNA", at positions 1786 to 1831 of the family's 1831-position model. The record is from RNAcentral.